CAGCAGUCGCCGCGGUAAUACAGAGGAUGCAAGCGUUAUCCGGAAUGAUUGGGCGUAAAGCGUCUGUAGGUGGCUUUUCAAGUCCGCCGUCAAAUCCCAGGGCUCAACCUGGGAAUUGCAGUGGAUACUGGAUCACUAGAGUGUGGUAGAGGAUAGUGGAAUUUCCGGUGUAGCAGUGAAAUGCGUAGAGAUCGGAAGGAACAUCUGUGGCGAAGGCGACUAUCUGGGCCAACACUGACACUGAGGCACGAAAGCGUGGGGAGCAAACAGGAUUAGAUACCCCAGUAGUCCCUGUCUCUUAUAC
RNAcentral lists this ribosomal RNA (304 nucleotides) under uncultured bacterium. RNAcentral's name for it is "partial 16S ribosomal RNA". It matches the Rfam family "Bacterial small subunit ribosomal RNA", at positions 509 to 807 of the family's 1533-position model. The record is from RNAcentral.